UUUUAUUUGAGAGUUUGAUCCUGGCUCAGGAUGAACGCUGGCGGCGUGCCUAACACAUGCAAGUUGAGCGAUUUACUUCGGUAAAGAGCGGCGGACGGGUGAGUAACGCGUGGGUAACCUACCCUGUACACACGGAUAACAUACCGAAAGGUAUGCUAAUACGGGAUAAUAUAUUUGAGAGGCAUCUCUUGAAUAUCAAAGGUGAGCCAGUACAGGAUGGACCCGCGUCUGAUUAGCUAGUUGGUAAGGUAACGGCUUACCAAGGCGACGAUCAGUAGCCGACCUGAGAGGGUGAUCGGCCACAUUGGAACUGAGACACGGUCCAAACUCCUACGGGAGGCAGCAGUGGGGAAUAUUGCACAAUGGGCGAAAGCCUGAUGCAGCAACGCCGCGUGAGUGAUGAAGGCCUUCGGGUCGUAAAACUCUGUCCUCAAGGAAGAUAAUGACGGUACUUGAGGAGGAAGCCCCGGCUAACUACGUGCCAGCAGCCGCGGUAAUACGUAGGGGGCUAGCGUUAUCCGGAUUUACUGGGCG
Molecule: ribosomal RNA, 534 nt
Filed under: Clostridioides difficile
Lineage: Bacteria; Bacillati; Bacillota; Clostridia; Peptostreptococcales; Peptostreptococcaceae
Description: bacterial SSU rRNA
Rfam family: Bacterial small subunit ribosomal RNA
Source: RNAcentral